ACGUUAUACGGACGUUGGCACUCCUAUUCCUGCUUCUUGGGAUUGCCGACAGCUUUUCAGAGUGGUGCGAUGCCGAUAACGAUCGUCGUCUGGAGCACGCCAUUGAAGCAGCGCUAGCUGAUAUCCCACGAGAAAGGACCUCUGAAGUUCUGGCAGGAAUUUCUCAGCAAUCUCCUCUAGGAUUCGAAGGAUACAAAGUGACUGGCUUGAAUCAGCUUCGUCGACAGGGACCUCUCCAAACUUACUGCGGCAAUGGAAGUCAGGUUGUCAAUUUUGGCUUGGCUUCGGAA
Long non-coding RNA from Rhipicephalus sanguineus (brown dog tick), 290 nucleotides. RefSeq lists it as uncharacterized. The transcript is spliced from 3 exons. The record is from RefSeq and is a predicted model, not a curated record. NCBI's taxonomy places the organism in Eukaryota, Metazoa, Arthropoda, Arachnida, Ixodida, Ixodidae.